This 187-nucleotide non-coding RNA is filed under the name Ornithinibacillus halophilus. RNAcentral describes it as "Ornithinibacillus sp. G8B(2010) 6S / SsrS RNA". It matches the Rfam family "6S / SsrS RNA". From Rfam's summary of the family: E. coli 6S RNA was the first non coding RNA to be sequenced, but its function was unknown until recently. It consists of 184 nucleotides that fold into an extended hairpin structure with a large single-stranded internal bulge. The 6S RNA specifically associates with RNA polymerase holoenzyme containing the sigma70 specificity factor. The record is from Rfam by way of RNAcentral. Lineage: Bacteria; Bacillati; Bacillota; Bacilli; Caryophanales; Bacillaceae.
UUGAUCCUGAUGUGUUUGUCUAUAUAGAACGUUUUGACCGAACAUUAACAUAAUUGGGAGCUUGAGAGUUUUUAUAUUGCGUACGCGCCUCCAUUGUCAGAGGAAGUACAAUAAAUAUAAAACAAAGCACCCACCUGCCUUGAGCGGGAUCAAAACUAAUCAAAUAGACGGCAACAUUGGGAUUGAU